Molecule: ribosomal RNA, 468 nt
Filed under: uncultured bacterium
Lineage: Bacteria
Description: partial 16S ribosomal RNA
Rfam family: Bacterial small subunit ribosomal RNA
Source: RNAcentral
GACGAACGCUGGCGGCGUGCUUAACACAUGCAAGUCGAACGGAAAGGCCCUGCUUUUGUGGGGUUCUCGAGUGGCGAACGGGUGAGUAACACGUGAGUAACCUGCCCUUGACUUUGGGAUAACUUCAGGAAACUGGGGCUAAUACCGGAUAGGAGCUCCUGCUGCAUGUUGGGGGUUGGAAAGUUUCGGCGGUUGGGGAUGGACUCGCGGCUUAUCAGCUUGUUGGUGGGGUAGUGGCUUACCAAGGCUUUGACGGGUAGCCGGCCUGAGAGGGUGACCGGCCACAUUGGGACUGAGAUACGGCCCAGACUCCUACGGGAGGCAGCAGUGGGGAAUAUUGCACAAUGGGCGGAAGCCUGAUGCAGCAACGCCGCGUGCGGGAUGACGGCCUUCGGGUUGUAAACCGCUUUCGCCUGUGACGAAGCGUGAGUGACGGUAAUGGGUAAAGAAGCACCGGCUAACUACGUG